RNAcentral lists this unclassified non-coding RNA (300 nucleotides) under uncultured fungus. Its description in RNAcentral is "sequence contains 5.8S rRNA gene, ITS2". The stretch from base 1 to 71 matches the Rfam family "5.8S ribosomal RNA", at positions 84 to 154 of the family's 154-position model. The record is from RNAcentral. Lineage: Eukaryota; Fungi.
GUGAAUCAUCGAAUCUUUGAACGCACAUUGCGCUUCGUGGUAUUCCGCGGAGCAUGCUCGUUUCAGAAUCAUUAAAGAACUCACAGAGCCAUGCUUUGUUGUUGGUCCGCCUCAACAAACUUGUGCAAUGUGGAUGUGGGCAACUUGUCCAAGUCAAUUGCCUUAAAAUGAGAGUGUGUGACCGAUCGUCGAUCGGGUCUUCCAACGGUGCAACAGCUUGAUACCUCCCGGGACCCCUCGAGUGAUCACACAUCUGCAAACAACACAGGGCCGGCAAGCAGUUAUGCUUAACCGGCUCUG